AGUGAACGCUGGCGGUAGGCCUAACACAUGCAAGUCGAACGGCAGCACAGUAAGCGCUUGCUCUUACGGGUGGCGAGUGGCGGACGGGUGAGGAAUACAUCGGAAUCUACUUUUUCGUGGGGGAUAACGUAGGGAAACUUACGCUAAUACCGCAUACGACCUACGGGUGAAAGCAGGGGAUCUUCGGACCUUGCGCGAUUGAAUGAGCCGAUGUCGGAGUAGCUAGUUGGCGGGGUAAAGGCCCACCAAGGCGACGAUCCGUAGCUGGUCUGAGAGGAUGAUCAGCCACAAUGGAACUGAGACACGGUCCAGACUCCUACGGGAGGCAGCAGUGGGGAAUAUUGGACAAUAGGCGCAAGCCUGAUCCAGCCAUACCGCGUGGGUGAAGAAGGCCUUCGGGUUGUAAAGACCUUUUGUUGGGAAAGAAAAGCAGCAGGUUAAUACCCCGCUGUUCUGACGGUACCCAAAGAAUAAGCACCGGCUAACUUCGUG
Molecule: ribosomal RNA, 492 nt
Filed under: uncultured bacterium
Lineage: Bacteria
Description: partial 16S ribosomal RNA
Rfam family: Bacterial small subunit ribosomal RNA
Source: RNAcentral